GGCGUAGCGGAAGCGUGAUAUUGAAAAGUAUAAACAAAUUUGGCAAGAAAAAAAAAUUAAAAAUGAGACAGAGAUUUAACGUGGUUCACCCAAAAAUAUAGGCUACGUCCACGGACGACGAAGAGCAAAAAUAUCACUAUAAUGAAAAGUGUACAGCAAAACCUCACUGGGCGUAUGCACUACGAGGAUAUAAUUUUUGUGUAUCACUCGUGAUAUAUGUGGAGUAAAAAGAAAGAAAAGUAUUUUCUCUCUUGUGUCUGUCUUUAUUGCUGCCUGAAAUGAAGAACACAAAUGUUAUAUUUAUAGCAGGCGAAGGAAGUGUUGUGCCACCAGUCACGGAAGAAAGCAAUGGAGUAGUAAACAAUUGCUGCUAUGAUUUUGAAAAAAUCCAGUCAACAAUUGUUUGCUUGGCUGCUGUGUGCUGCUGCUGUGUGUGCUGAAUGUCAACAGAU
This 452-nucleotide long non-coding RNA is filed under the name Nicotiana benthamiana. Its description in RNAcentral is "long non-coding RNA (NBEN_LNC004924)". Lineage: Eukaryota; Viridiplantae; Streptophyta; Magnoliopsida; Solanales; Solanaceae. The record is from RNAcentral.